RNAcentral lists this unclassified non-coding RNA (522 nucleotides) under uncultured Pelagibacterales bacterium. Its description in RNAcentral is "partial 16S-23S ribosomal RNA intergenic spacer". The stretch from base 402 to 522 matches the Rfam family "Bacterial large subunit ribosomal RNA", at positions 1 to 122 of the family's 2925-position model. Lineage: Bacteria; Pseudomonadati; Pseudomonadota; Alphaproteobacteria; Candidatus Pelagibacterales. The record is from RNAcentral.
CCUCCUUUCUAAGGAUGAAUAAAAGUAAAAUUUUAUUCUAAAUAAUAUACAGGUUAAUGUUGACCGUCCUCAUUUCUCUUCUUAAAGUAAUGUUUCCAUCUUGUAGGGCCGGUAGCUCAGUCGGUUAGAGCACACCCUUGAUAAGGGUGGGGUCGAAAGUUCGAGUCUUUCUCGGCCCACCAAAUUUAACUGGGGGAUUAGCUCAGCUGGGAGAGCGCCUGAUUUGCAUUCAGGAGGUCAGCGGUUCGAUCCCGCUAUCCUCCACCAGGGAACAUUUAGCUAUUAAAACUGUAAAUAAAAAUAAUUAAUAUCAAUAUCUAUAUCCGAACAUUAAAAGUUAUUAUUUAAUGUUCAAAAUAAAAAUUUGAUCACAACACAGAAAGAAUUUUUUUCUGUGCAUAAAUCAAGCGUUUAAGGGCGUGUGGCGGAUGCCUGGGCACUGAAAGCCGAUGAAGGACGUGGUAUACUGCGAUAAGUUUCGGGGAGCUGUAUGCAAGCUUUGAUCCGAAGAUUCCGAAUGGG